This is a long non-coding RNA of Clupea harengus (Atlantic herring), 486 nucleotides long. Lineage: Eukaryota; Metazoa; Chordata; Actinopteri; Clupeiformes; Clupeidae. The record is from Ensembl.
AUCCUGUUAAAUUGAUUAUAGUGGUACAUGGCGCAGGUGGGGGUGCCAACCACACCUGGCCGCAUAUGGUCCACGCGUACCUCAACGAACAGCCAGACAGAUAGACGGACACAUGGUCCGGUCCACCUGUUCGCCGUUAUCAUCCCCAUCAUAUCAUCUCAGCACACGUGAGGUCCCUACCUCAGUGUCCCAGUCCUCCACGUUAUCAUCCCCAUCAUAUCAUCUCAGCACAUGUGAGGUCCCUACCUCAGUGUCCCAGUCAGUAAGUGUGUAUCAUCCCCAUCAUAUCAUCUCAGCACAUGUGAGGUCCCUACCUCAGUGUCCCAGUCAGUAAGUGUGUAUCAUCCCCAUCAUAUCAUCUCAGCACAUGUGAGGUCCCUACAUCAGUGUCCCAGUCCUCCACGUUAUCAUCCCCAUCAUAUCAUCUCAGCACAUGUGAAGUCCCUACCUCAGUGUCCCAGUCAGUAAGUGUGUAUCAUCCCCAUC